GUUACUGCUAUCGAGGUUCGACUAAGCCAUGCGAGUCGAAUGUAGCAAUACAUGGCGUACUGCUCAGUAACACGUGGAUAACCUACCCUUGAGAUGGGAAUAAACCCGGGAAACUGGGUAUAAUACCCGAUAGAUCUCGACUGCUGGAAUGCAUCGAGAUCCAAAGCUCCGGCGCUCAAGGAUGGAUCUGCGGCCUAUCAGGUAGUAGUGGGUGUAGCGUACCUACUAGCCUACGACGGGUACGGGUUGUGAGAGCAAGAGCCCGGAGAUGGAUUCUGAGACACGAAUCCAGGCCCUACGGUGUGCAGCAGGCGCGAAAACUUUACAAUGCUGGAAACAGCGAUAAGGGGACCUCGAGUGCAGGUUACAAAUCUGGCUGUCGUGAUGCCUAAAAAGCAUUGAUACAAGGCCGGCAAGCCGUGCACCGCGCGGUACACGCGCUCGAGUGGUACCGUUAUUAUUGGUCUAAGGGUCUGAGCGGCCGGAUAGUCUCUUGGAAAUCUGCAGUUACUGUCAGCUUCAGAGAUACUGUCUGCUCGAGGCCGGAGAGGUAGAGGUACUUCAGGGUAGGGGUAAAUCUUGUAAUCCUUGAAGGCCACAGUGCGAAGGCGUCUCACCAGAACGACCUGACGGCAAGGACGAAAGCUAGGGGCACGAACCGGAUUAGAUACCCGGGUAGUCCUAGCCGUAAACGAUACUCGCUAGGUGUCGGCAACGGUGCGACCGUUGUCGGUGCCGUAGGGAAGCCGUGAAGCGAGCCACCUGGGAAGUACGGCCGCAAGGCUGAAACUUAAAGGAAUUGCGGGGGAGCACCACAACAGGUGGAGCCUGCGGUUUAAUCGGACUCAACGCCGGAAAACUCACCAGAUAAGACAGCUGAAUGAUAGUCGGGCUGAAGACUCUACUUGACUAGCUGAGAGGAGGUGCAUGGCCGUCGUCAGUUCGUACUGUGAAGCAUCCUGUUAAGUCAGG
This 972-nucleotide ribosomal RNA is filed under the name uncultured archaeon SYA-94. Its description in RNAcentral is "bacterial SSU rRNA". It matches the Rfam family "Archaeal small subunit ribosomal RNA", at positions 23 to 1038 of the family's 1478-position model. The record is from RNAcentral.